AGGACGAACGCUGGCGGCGUGCUUAACACAUGCAAGUCGAACGGAAAGGCCCGCUUGCGGGUACUCGAGUGGCGAACGGGUGAGUAACACGUGGGCAACCUGCCCUCAGCUUCGGGAUAACACUUGGAAACAGGUGCUAAUACCGGAUAAUAACUUGUCAUCGCAUGGUGGUGGGUUCAAAGUUUUUCGGCUGAGGAUGGGCCCGCGGCCUAUCAAGCUUGUUGGUGGGGUAAUGGCCUACCAAGGCGACGACGGGUAGCCGGCCUGAGAGGGCGACCGGCCACACUGGGACUGAGACACGGCCCAGACUCCUACGGGAGGCAGCAGUGGGGAAUAUUGCGCAAUGGGCGGAAGCCUGACGCAGCGACGCCGCGUGAGGGAUGACGGCCUUCGGGUUGUAAACCUCUUUCAGCUCUGACGAAGCGCAAGUGACGGUAGGAGCAGAAGAAGCACCGGCCAACUACGUGCCAGCAGCCGCGGUAA
This 483-nucleotide ribosomal RNA is filed under the name uncultured bacterium. Its description in RNAcentral is "SSU rRNA". It matches the Rfam family "Bacterial small subunit ribosomal RNA", at positions 26 to 523 of the family's 1533-position model. The record is from RNAcentral.